ACAGCCUUGCUGAAUUAUUCACCCUUGUCUUUUGCGUACUUCUUGUUUCCUUGGUGGGUUCGCCCACCACUAGGACAAACAUAAACCUUUUGUAAUUGCAAUCAGCGUCAGUAACAAAUUAAUAAUUACAACUUUCAACAACGGAUCUCUUGGUUCUGGCAUCGAUGAAGAACGCAGCGAAAUGCGAUAAGUAGUGUGAAUUGCAGAAUUCAGUGAAUCAUCGAAUCUUUGAACGCACAUUGCGCCCUUUGGUAUUCCAAAGGGCAUGCCUGUUCGAGCGUCAUUUGUACCCUCAAGCUUUGCUUGGUGUUGGGCGUCUUGUCUCUAGCUUUGCUGGAGACUCGCCUUAAAGUAAUUGGCAGCCGGCCUACUGGUUUCGGAGCGCAGCACAAGUCGCACUCUCUAUCAGCAAAGGUCUAGCAUCCAUUAAGCCUUUUUUCAACUUUUGACCUCGGAUCAGGUAGGGAUACCCGCUGAACUUAAGCAUAUCAAUAAGCGGAGGA
RNAcentral lists this ribosomal RNA (503 nucleotides) under Alternaria sp. JCM9.2. Its description in RNAcentral is "eukaryotic LSU rRNA". The stretch from base 130 to 283 matches the Rfam family "5.8S ribosomal RNA". Lineage: Eukaryota; Fungi; Ascomycota; Dothideomycetes; Pleosporales; Pleosporaceae. The record is from RNAcentral.